UAAUAGUAUAAAGAUAAUAUAGAAUAAAAUUAAACUCAGAAACAUACAUAAUAAGUCUAAACCCAAUGUUGGCUAAUCAACCAUCCCAAGAUUUGUUGUCACAAGUACAUGAGCUACUAAGAGUGCUACAAACAUAGUCUGAAAUGAAAUGUAAUAUUAUCUAAUACAAGGAAAAAUAGUAAUAGUGAAAAUGGAGGUGACUCUAGAGUCUACGGACGAGAAACCAGCACUGCCUCAAGUCUCCCUGAUGUCCAAAUUAUGCACCCCUCUGAACGAUGCUAAGACCCAUUCCCACAAUCUGUAUAAAAAGUAUAGAAGUAUAGUGUAAGUAUAAUCAACCAUAUGCACUCACUAAAUAUCAAGCCUAACCUCUACAAGGUAGUGAUGUGCCUAUGACAAGACAUUUAAAUAAAAGCCUAGUUAACAAGCAAUAAAAGAGAUAACAGUAAUAAUAGCAUAAAUAAAAGCUAGGAAUCAGUAGAAGUGUCCAAUAUCAGUAAUGAUAACCAUAUUUUCUUGAAUAGCACUAGUUAAAACCCUUUUCAUCAGCUCAAACCAAUAGGGAAGAAACAAUAUCUAUAAUUAGUGCAGCAGCAAUCUAUAAAGAGAGUCUAUAUCACAAACAAACCCACAUCUUAUAACACAUACCUUGUGGCGCACAACCCGAUCCAACACAUACAUAAGCAUCAUUGCGACUGCAACCCGAUCCCAUGGACAUACUAUUCUUGCGGCGAGCAACCUGAUCCUUAUCAUAACAUUGUUGCAGCGGAAACCCGAUCCAAAAUAUCAACUCACGUUGAACCAUCAAUCAACACAUCCAUAUAAAGAAAUAUCCAUAAUAACUAUCAAAGAGAAUAAAUAAGCAUAAUUUACUAAGAAAAGAAUGGGCACGAACAAAAAGUAAUGUCAAAUCCCAAGUUUUAGAGUUAAUCUUACUCAUAUAACGUAAUAAGGAUCCAAAUAAGGUUACUAACACACAACAAUCAAAUAAUCGCACAAUCCCCAACAUAGCAUAGGAAAAUAAAGCAUAAAACAAGCAUAGACAUGUUCUAGUAAAUACAUUUAUUAAGUAAAAGCAUAAACAAGUAUAAGCAUGUAACAAGUAAAACAUAUGACGAGCAAGGCAUGUAAAAAAUAAAGACAUGGAACAAGUAAAACAUAUUAUAAAUAUAGGCACGGAACAUGUAAGAGCAUGUAAUAAAUAAAACACAAGAUAAACUAGUUUUACCUGCAUGCUUUGACCCAUGACAACAUAUAUACACUUGUCACCUUGUAUAUGCAUCGUCCCCCACACAAUUCAUAUAGAAAGUAGAUUCAAUAAUAUCCUAAUUUUCUCAAAUCAAGGUUAACCAAGAUACUUACCUCUUCCUAAGCCAAAUCAACAAUCCAACAAAGCUUUGCCUUUAGCACAAGCUUCCAAUCAACUUGAAUCUAGUCAAAUAAUGUUCAAAUGAGUCAAAACAGGCUUUACAAACAACUCUAGUAUAAAAAAGGUUCGAUCAUUAAUAUAUUUGAAAAAGUCAACAAAAAGUUAACUCUGGCCCACUUGGUCGAAAUCCAAAAUUAAGACCAAAUCUCGAUAACUCAUUCUCCCAUAAAUCCAAAUAUGCGAUUCAUUUCAAGAUCCAACCUCAAAUCGAGGUCUAAAUCUCUUUUAAAUACAAAAUCAUAAAUUUUCUACCCAAAAACUCUAUUUCUACUAUAUGACAACUUAGAUUUAGGAAUGAGAAAAUUAGCCAAAACAAGUUAAAGCUACUAACCUAUAAUGUUGGGAUAAAAAUCUCUUCAAAGGUUGGCUCUACAUGAAGUCUACAUGAAGAAAAUAAGCUAACCUUUUACCCAGUUGCAGAUGUCGUAUUUGCGAACUGGACAUUGCAAAUACGACCACUUAGCUCGCAAUUGCCAAAACGUGUCGGUGCAAAUGCGAGCCAGCAUUCGCAAAUGGGGACCUCACUUUUACGGACAAUGCUUUACAAUUCCAAGGGCACUACUAGAAAAUUGGUCUAUUGCAAACGGGUCACAAUCUGUUGCAAUAGGUAGUAAAACCAUUGCAAUAAAUCUAUAAGAACGGUUAAGUACAAUAUAUUAUACUGAAAUUGAUACAAAUCACUAAAGGAACUAUUAAAUAACAAAGUCACAAAUCAAAUUAUCCAACUAGUACUAUUCAUAGAGUAUAAAGCAAAAAAGAGAAUAUUAUUUGAUAAAUUCAAGAGUUACCAUACAUAAGUUUGCAAAAAAUUCUAAAAUAAAAAAUUCCUAGAACAUCUAAAGACCUUGUUGAAAUUGUUGGAUGAUUGAACUAUUAUAGCAACACAAUUAAAUACUCAGUGCAAUUACUAGAUGAUUGAUCCAUCUAAGGCAAUUACCUUCAAAAUCACACAAGAGUUAUGAUAUUUACUCUGUAUUACUGUAAUAAACAAUAAAAAUCAUUAAACUUUCUGAAAUCGAAAAAACAGAAACAGAAAGUUAGCAAGAAAAGAAUGUCGAAAUAAUUUCUGAAAAAAUAAUUUCGGAAUAAAUCGAGCCUACUGAAUGCACAGUGUGUCCUUAAGGAAAUUAUUCCCCUCACGUACCCGAUGUGCUGGAAUAUUAUCCUCCCAGGAUAGAACGAUUUAACUCACCGGAGUGUUGGUACCAAAAAUGCCGAUGUAGCAGCGAACCACUCGAAGGCUGUAAAACACACUGAAGAUUCUGUGCAGAAGAAGAAGAGCAGAAAAUUUCGUAAGGAAAAGAUUCUGGGAUUCAAAGCAUAUUUACAGACUUAUUGGCACUGUUUCUGAAAAGGUUUGCAACCAUUCAGAAACAGCAAUGGUUGUUGGAACAGGCUAUUUGCAUAUUGAAUUUUUGUUAAUUAAUUUAAUUAAUUAAUUGAAAAAAAUUUUGUCCAAAAGAUUAAUCAAUCAAUCUUUAACCGAAGCCGAAACCGAAGCCGAGCGAGCGACGACGGCACGAGGCUUGCCUUCUUCUUAACUCUUUAAGAGUUAGAAAAAGAGCAAUUGUAUAUAUACCCAUCAAAAGCCUUUUCUUCCUCCAAUAUGGGACAAUGUCCCUUUGCCAAGGAGGGAAACUCAAAUAUUUCAUUUCCCUUCAUUUCCCAUUCACCCUCUUUACGCUACACCAAGCUUAAAAUUAAGUUAAACCAAGCUUAAAAGCCCAACAAGUUAUUACUCAAAGAACUCUCACCUUGAUCUCCUUGCUUAACUGGAAAAAAAAAAAAAAAAAAAAAAAGAAAGCACUUAAGAAAAAUUACUGCAUAAAGUUUCAAUCUUUAACUGCAAAAAUAAAUACAAAAGAAUACUGCAGAAAAUUUCAAGCUUAACUGGAGAGGAAAAAUCUAACGAAGUGCACAUGAAAACCAUAGCAAAAAAAUUCGGCAUAAUUGCACAUAUAAAACUACCAGAAACCACAAAGAUUUUCAACUUAACUGCAUAUAGAAAAUAAUACUGCCCGAUGUAUGAUUUGUUUACAUUCUUAAAACCUUUUUCAAUUAGAAUUGAUGAUGCAAUAUAAAUAUUUAUGCCAGAACCUACAUAUUACGUGGAAGCUAUCUCAUGAAUUAUGUAUAUUGUAUUUUUCUUCUACCACCAUAUGAAUAUGUUCAGUAAAAACAUUCAUUACAUUUGAAUAUCAAUGAAUAACUUUAACGGAAAAAAUACGGCAACUCCAUACUCUUACCUGGUGCAACAAACAAUGUCUUGAAGAAUAUUUUUGUAAAAUUACAUUUCAUUUUUUCGAGUUACAACUGAAUCUACGACAUCUAAAGAGUACAACCAAAAAGUUUGAACUUCUCUUUAGAAGAACUUUUCCUCCCCUCCAGAAAGAAAGAAGGAUUGCCUCUUGACAACACUCUACAAAUUUAGACCAUCAUCUCAAAAGGUUCGAGAAUGACAUUUACAAAAGCCUUGGAACAUUUCAAUAUCAUACUACUUCAAAUUUUUUUAGUUGUAUACAUUUAUAAAAGUUUUGUACUGGAGUUGUUUACAAAAGAUACUUACAAUUUUUGUGAAUAGAAAUUGUUCUUCAUUUUGGGGCUACAGAGGUAGCACAUAAUUACUUGACUGGAGUAGAGGAAGAAAAUUAUAUUGAGAGACAAAAACAAUUACAAGGUGGAAGACAACAGUAGUCAAAUGCAAUAAAUAACAAAACAUCAGUGAAAACACUUAACUAGACUCAAAAUUGUGUUUGAGUAUCUUUGCAGGUAACAAAAUGACCAUUCGAUGAAAGAGACACAUACCAAAAGCAGAGAACUAAACAUGUCAAUUCACCAUAGAGCUUAGCAACAUUUUAGCUUUUAGAAGGUGCAUUUUUUCUUAUUGUCACCAGCUCUCAGUGCACCGGUAUCAAACUCACCCGUACUGAUAUAUGUUCGUAACAAAAACUUAGCCUAUUUCCACUUUGUCCUGAUUUAAUGCAGCCAGAAUUCCAAGUAGAUCCAACUUAAAUGGUAGAAUAAACCAAAACAAUUCCAAGCACUGCAGCGUACAUCUAAAAAUUAAACCGUAUUUUCGAACUCAAAGGUAAAGGCACCUAUUUAGGAAAAUAAACAAACCUAUUAGUACUAUAGAAUACCAAAAAUUUCUAGUCAUACAAGCAAGCAUGGAACUCCACCUACAAGAGCUUCCCGUAGGUUAUCUCAAGUUCAGAUACAAAAGAAAGAUGUUGCAAUUGGUUGAUGACCAGCCAUGUAUACUAUGACUGAUGAAUGCAAGACCAGCUUAAAACCUUAUCCGCUUAUAGUAAUGAUUACAACUACUCAUUCAGAUCUCAAUUCAGAAAAAAUAUUCAAAUUCAUAUCGUUUUUAAAGAUCUGUAGAUCUCUUCUUUUAAUACAUCUGAGAUCUCUCCAUACAAACAAAAUGAACUCUAUAAUUUCAUGGAUAAAUGCAGCCAAAAAGUACACAUAGAAGAGAUUAGAGAGACUUACGGCGGCGAUGCAGAUCUGAAGAUCUAAGAGUUGGUCCUUCGCUCGAUUUAUCCUUCAAACUGUAUUGUUAUUUUAGGGUCUUUACCGAGAGAGAUUAAUGUAGCAGUAGUUUCAUUCUCUGUAAGAUAAUUUUAAGAAUUGAUAGCUAAAGCCGGCAAAGAGAGGAAAAUUGCGGAAAGUAGGGUUUUUUCGGAAGAUUUUGAGAGAGAUUUUCGAGGGAGGUAUUCCAAAAAUUAGUGCUAAAAUAAAAAAUAGAAAACUCACAUAAAGAGGUGUCUCGUUGGGAAAAAUUAUAGAUGAGGGAAAUGAGGAAAAUAA
This 5242-nucleotide long non-coding RNA is filed under the name Nicotiana tabacum (common tobacco). RNAcentral's name for it is "long non-coding RNA (NTAB_LNC000094)". The record is from RNAcentral. Lineage: Eukaryota; Viridiplantae; Streptophyta; Magnoliopsida; Solanales; Solanaceae.